AGGGGAAAUGAGGCGAUAGCGACGAUUCUACGAACACUGACGAAUAUCCACGAAUAAUCGAUUCGUCGGACUUUUAAUCCGUUGGUCACUGGUUCGAAUCCAGUACGUCCUACCA
This 115-nucleotide transfer RNA is filed under the name Variovorax boronicumulans. RNAcentral describes it as "tRNA-Lys". The stretch from base 52 to 104 matches the Rfam family "tRNA", at positions 10 to 63 of the family's 71-position model. Lineage: Bacteria; Pseudomonadati; Pseudomonadota; Betaproteobacteria; Burkholderiales; Comamonadaceae. The record is from RNAcentral.